This 253-nucleotide ribosomal RNA is filed under the name uncultured bacterium. Its description in RNAcentral is "partial 16S ribosomal RNA". It matches the Rfam family "Bacterial small subunit ribosomal RNA", at positions 524 to 776 of the family's 1533-position model. The record is from RNAcentral.
UACGGAGGGGGCUAGCGUUGUUCGGAAUUAUUGGGCGUAAAGGGCGCGUAGGCGGCCGAAUAAGUCUGACGUGAAAUCCCCCGGCCCAACCGGGGAACUGCGUUUGAUACUGUUCGGCUCGAGUCCGGGAGAGGGUAGUGGAAUUCCCAGUGUAGCGGUGAAAUGCGUAGAUAUUGGGAGGAACACCGGUGGCGAAGGCGGCUACCUGGACCGGUACUGACGCUGAGGCGCGAAAGCUAGGGUAGCAAACAGG